UCCCCCCUAGUUUAUACAGAACCCUUGAUUUGCAAUUAAGAAGAAGGGUACCCCCUGAGGGGAA
This 64-nucleotide transfer RNA is filed under the name Sirsoe methanicola. RNAcentral's name for it is "tRNA-Ala". Lineage: Eukaryota; Metazoa; Annelida; Polychaeta; Phyllodocida; Hesionidae. The record is from RNAcentral.